AAACAUGAUUACUGGCACUUCUCAGGC
Molecule: non-coding RNA, 27 nt
Filed under: Cricetulus griseus (Chinese hamster)
Lineage: Eukaryota; Metazoa; Chordata; Mammalia; Rodentia; Cricetidae
Source: RNAcentral